UGCAAGUCGAACGGAAGGCCCUGCUUUUGUGGGGUGCUCGAGUGGCGAACGGGUGAGUAACACGUGAGUAACCUGCCCUUGACUUUGGGAUAACUUCAGGAAACUGGGGCUAAUACCGGAUAGGAGCUCCUGCUGCAUGGUGGGGGUUGGAAAGUUUCGGCGGUUGGGGAUGGACUCGCGGCUUAUCAGCUUGUUGGUGGGGUAGUGGCUUACCAAGGCUUUGACGGGUAGCCGGCCUGAGAGGGUGACCGGCCACAUUGGGACUGAGAUACGGCCCAGACUCCUACGGGAGGCAGCAGUGGGGAAUAUUGCACAAUGGGCGGAAGCCUGAUGCAGCAACGCCGCGUGCGGGAUGACGGCCUUCGGGUUGUAAACCGCUUUCGCCUGUGACGAAGCGUGAGUGACGGUAAUGGGUAAAGAAGCACCGGCUAACUACGUGCCAGCAGCCGCGGUGAUACGUAGGGUGCGAGCGUUGUCCGGAUUUAUUGGGCGUAAAGGGCUCGUAGGUGGUUGAUCGCGUCGGAAGUGUAAUCUUGGGGCUUAACCCUGAGCGUGCUUUCGAUACGGGUUGACUUGAGGAAGGUAGGGGAGAAUGGAAUUCCUGGUGGAGCGGUGGAAUGCGCAGAUAUCAGGAGGAACACCAGUGGCGAAGGCGGUUCUCUGGGCCUUUCCUGACGCUGAGGAGCGAAAGCGUGGGGAGCGAACAGGCUUAGAUACCCUGGUAGUCCACGCUGUAAACGGUGGGUACUAGGUGUGGGGUCCAUUCCACGGGUUCCGUGCCGUAGCUAACGCUUUAAGUACCCCGCCUGGGGAGUACGGCCGCA
RNAcentral lists this ribosomal RNA (824 nucleotides) under uncultured Actinomycetes bacterium. RNAcentral describes it as "bacterial SSU rRNA". It matches the Rfam family "Bacterial small subunit ribosomal RNA", at positions 56 to 890 of the family's 1533-position model. Lineage: Bacteria; Bacillati; Actinomycetota; Actinomycetes. The record is from RNAcentral.